UUCAGUACGACAUUGCUCACAUUGCUUCCAGUAUUUUUGCCCGCCUCACUGAGUGCGGGCUUUUUUU
Molecule: non-coding RNA, 67 nt
Organism: Citrobacter koseri ATCC BAA-895
Lineage: Bacteria; Pseudomonadati; Pseudomonadota; Gammaproteobacteria; Enterobacterales; Enterobacteriaceae
Source: Rfam